AUUCUUUUAGUAUAAAAAGUAUAAUUGACUUCCAAUCAAAAGGUUAUUUAAUAAAAGAAUA
RNAcentral lists this transfer RNA (61 nucleotides) under Augilodes binghami. RNAcentral's name for it is "tRNA-Gly". Lineage: Eukaryota; Metazoa; Arthropoda; Insecta; Hemiptera; Caliscelidae. The record is from RNAcentral.